Molecule: ribosomal RNA, 1507 nt
Filed under: Propionibacterium sp. HMSC067A02
Lineage: Bacteria; Bacillati; Actinomycetota; Actinomycetes; Propionibacteriales; Propionibacteriaceae
Description: bacterial LSU rRNA
Rfam family: Bacterial large subunit ribosomal RNA
Source: RNAcentral
GCAAAGUUGUGUAGUGCGAUCGGUGGAUGCCUUGGCACCAAGAGCCGAUGAAGGACGUUGUGACCUGCGAUAAGCCCUGGGGAGUUGGUGAGCGAGCUGUGAUCCGGGGGUGUCCGAAUGGGGAAACCUGGAAUGUCCGGAGUAGUGUCCGGUGGCCCUGCCCUGAAUGUAUAGGGGUGUGGGUGGUAACGCGGGGAAGUGAAACAUCUUAGUACCCGUAGGAAGAGAAAACAAGUGUGAUUCCGUGAGUAGUGGCGAGCGAAAGCGGAGGAGGCUAAACCGUGUGUGUGUUCAAGCCGGCAGGUGUUGCAUGUGCGGGGUUGUGGGGGCCUUGUGGUUCUGCUGCCGCAGGAUUGGCCAGUGAGAAAUGUUGCGUGAAGGUGAAGCGUCUGGGAAGGCGUACCGGAGUGGGUGAGAGUCCUGUAACUGUAAGCGUGGCACUGGUGUGGGGUUGCCCCGAGUAGCGUGGGACUCGUGGAAUUUCGCGUGAAUCUGGCGGGACCACCCGUCAAGCCUAAAUACUCCUUGGUGACCGAUAGUGGAUGAGUACCGUGAGGGAAGGGUGAAAAGUACCCCGGGAGGGGAGUGAAAGAGUUCCUGAAACCGGUCGCAUGCAAGCCGUCAGAGCCUGUGUGGUGAUGGCGUGCCUUUUGAAGAAUGAGCCUGCGAGUUAGUGAUGCGUGGCGAGGUUAACCCGUGGUGGGGGAGUCGUAGCGAAAGCGAGUCCGAUAAGGGCGUGAGUCGCGUGUUCUAGACCCGAAGCGGUGUGAUCUAUCCAUGGCCAGGAUGAAGCGUCGGUAAGACGUCGUGGAGGUCCGAACCCACUUCAGUUGAAAAUGGAGGGGAUGAGUUGUGGAUAGGGGUGAAAGGCCAAUCAAACACCGUGAUAGCUGGUUCUCCCCGAAAUGCAUUUAGGUGCAGCGUUGCGUGGUUCUUGUUGGAGGUAGAGCACUGGAUGGUCUAGGGGGCUUAUCGGCUUACCGAAAUCAGCCAAACUCCGAAUGCUGGCAAGUGUAGCGUGGCAGUGAGACGGCGGGGGAUAAGCUUCGUCGUCGAGAGGGAAACAGCCCAGAUCAUCAGCUAAGGCCCCUAAGUGGUGACUCAGUGGGAAAGGAUGUGGAGUUGCGUAGACAACCAGGAGGUUGGCUUGGAAGCAGCCAUCCUUGAAAGAGUGCGUAAUAGCUCACUGGUCAAGUGAUUCCGCGCCGAUAAUGUAGCGGGGCUUAAGUUAUCCGCCGAAGCUGUGGCAACCUGUGUGGUUGGGUAGGGGAGCGUCGUGUCAGUGGUGAAGCUGCCGGGUGACUGUGUGGUGGAGUUGAUGCGAGUGAGAAUGCAGGCAUGAGUAGCGUGUGACGGGUGGGAAUCCCGUCCGCCGAUUAUCCAAGGGUUCCAGGGUCAAGUUUGUCUGCCCUGGGUGAGUCGGGUCCUAAGGCGAGGCCGACAGGCGUAGUCGAUGGGUAACCAGUUGAUAUUCUGGUACCGGCUUGUCACCGUCCGUGUCGAGGUG